AAAAGGGAGAGCGUGGAAGUCCAGGUGCAGUAGGUCCUCAAGGGGAAAAGGGUGCUAUGGGUUAUCCAGGUCCUCCUGGGAUUCCAGGACCCACUGGUCCACCGGGAUUACCUGGUCCUGCAGGGGCAAGAGGACCACCUGGGGGUCAAGGUACUAAAGGACAAAGAGUAAGUUAUCUGAUGAAGGAUGUACAUUAACCUAAAAAAAAUGACUUCAUGGAUGGUGAUGUGUUCAGCAAAAAUACCUUUAUAUCAUUUAGAUUGUGCUUACACACAUUGGGUUUUUCC
Non-coding RNA from Manis javanica (Malayan pangolin), 287 nucleotides. The record is from RefSeq and is a predicted model, not a curated record. Lineage: Eukaryota; Metazoa; Chordata; Mammalia; Pholidota; Manidae.